UACGUAGGUCCCGAGCGUUGUCCGGAUUUAUUGGGCGUAAAGCGAGCGCAGGUGGUUUAUUAAGUCUGGUGUAAAAGGCAGUGGCUCAACCAUUGUAUGCAUUGGAAACUGGUAGACUUGAGUGCAGGAGAGGAGAGUGGAAUUCCAUGUGUAGCGGUGAAAUGCGUAGAUAUAUGGAGGAACACCGGUGGCGAAAGCGGCUCUCUGGCCUGUAACUGACACUGAAGCUCGAAAGCGUGGGGAGCAAACAGG
RNAcentral lists this ribosomal RNA (252 nucleotides) under uncultured bacterium. Its description in RNAcentral is "partial 16S ribosomal RNA". It matches the Rfam family "Bacterial small subunit ribosomal RNA", at positions 524 to 776 of the family's 1533-position model. The record is from RNAcentral.